AUACGUAGGGGGCGAGCGUUGUCCGGAAUGAUUGGGCGUAAAGGGCGCGUAGGCGGCUUUGCAAGUCAGUAGUGGAAGUCCAUUUUUCAAGGAUGGAAGUGCUACAGAAACUGCGGAGCUUGAGUGCAGGAGAGGUUAUCGGAAUUCCCGGUGUAGCGGUGAAAUGCGUAGAGAUCGGGAGGAACACCAGUGGCGAAGGCGGGUAACUGGACUGCAACUGACGCUGAGGCGCGAAAGUGUGGGGAGCAAACAGGAUUAGAUACCCUGGUAGUCCACACUGUAAACGAUGAAUGCUAGGUGGAGGAGGUAUCGACCCCUUCUGUGCCGCAGUAAACACAGUAAGCAUUCCGCCUGGGGAGUACGGUCGCAAGAUUAAAACUCAAAUGAAUUGACGGGG
RNAcentral lists this ribosomal RNA (397 nucleotides) under uncultured bacterium. Its description in RNAcentral is "partial 16S ribosomal RNA". It matches the Rfam family "Bacterial small subunit ribosomal RNA", at positions 523 to 918 of the family's 1533-position model. The record is from RNAcentral.